This 492-nucleotide ribosomal RNA is filed under the name uncultured bacterium. RNAcentral's name for it is "partial 16S ribosomal RNA". It matches the Rfam family "Bacterial small subunit ribosomal RNA", at positions 29 to 507 of the family's 1533-position model. The record is from RNAcentral.
AAUGAACGCUGGCGGUAGGCCUAACACAUGCAAGUCGAACGACAGCACAGUAAGAGCUUGCUCUUGCGGGUGGCACGUGGCGGACGGGUGACGAAUACAUCGGAAUCUACUUUUUCGGGGGGGCUAACGUCGGAAAACUUCCGCUAAUCACGGAUUCAUCCUCCUUGUGUAAGCAGGCGAUCUUCUGGCCUUUCGCUAGUGAAUAAGCCGAUGUCGGAUUCGCUAGUUGGCGGGGUAAAGGCCCACCAAGGCCACGAUCCGAAGCUGGUAUGAGAGGAUGAUCCGCUACACUGGAAGUGAGGCACGGUCCAGACUCCUACGGGAGGCAGCAGUGGGGAAUAUUGGACGAUGGGGGCAAGCCUGAUACAGCCAUACCGCGUGAGUGAAGAAGGCCUUCUGGUUGGAAAGCGCUUUUGGUGGGAAAGAAAAGCAGCAGGUUAAUACCCCGCGGUUCUGACGGUACCCAAAGAAUAAGCACCGGCUAACUUCGUG